Molecule: ribosomal RNA, 468 nt
Filed under: uncultured bacterium
Lineage: Bacteria
Description: partial 16S ribosomal RNA
Rfam family: Bacterial small subunit ribosomal RNA
Source: RNAcentral
GACGAACGCUGGCGGCGUGCUUAACACAUGCAAGUCGAACGGAAAGGCCCUGCUUUUGUGGGGUGCUCGAGUGGCGAACGGGUGAGUAACACGUGAGUAACCUGCCCUUGACUUUGGGAUAACUUCAGGAAACUGGGGCUAAUACCGGAUAGGAGCUCCUGCUGCAUGGUGGGGGUUGGAAAGUUUCGGCGGUUGGGGAUGGACUCGCGGCUUAUCAGCUUGUUGGUGGGGUAGUGGCUGACCAAGGCUUUGACGGGUAGCCGGCAUGAGAGGGUGACCGGCCACAAUGGGCCUGAGAUACGGCGCAGACUCCUACGGGAGGCAGCAGUCGGGAAUAUUGCACAAUGGGCGGAAGCCUGAGGCAGCAACGCCGCGUGCGGGAAGAUGGCCUUCGGGUUGUAAACCGCUUUCGCCUGUGACGAAGCGUGAGUGACGGUAAUGGGUAAAGAAGCACCGGCUAACUACGUG